Brassica rapa (field mustard) is the source of this 4131-nucleotide RNA transcript. RefSeq lists it as uncharacterized. The record is from RefSeq and is a predicted model, not a curated record. NCBI's taxonomy places the organism in Eukaryota, Viridiplantae, Streptophyta, Magnoliopsida, Brassicales, Brassicaceae.
AAAUAAAUAAAAAUAUUUAAAAAACAUUUUUAAUGUUUCUGAAUUAUAUUUUUUCAAAUUCAAACUUUUUAUAAUUUGCUUUUUUGAAAUUUGUUUUUUGAAAGUUUUUUUUUUAAUUUCUUAAUGAAAUUCGAAAAUAUUUUUGAAACAAUUUUUAAAUUUUUUAAAGUGUUUAUUUUUAUAUAUAUUAGAAUACUAAACUCCACAUUCUAAAAAUCAUAUCAUAUACCUCAACUUUAAACCCUAAGUCUAGAUUAGUUUACCCUAAAGUUAUAAAUAUUUUUUUUUCUUUAUAAAAAUGAAGAUAAAAUAGUUAAAGUAAACAUGAAAAGUGGUAUUAUGAAUGUGAUAUUUUUGGCAAUUUUCCAUGAUAUUUUGUGUACAAAAAUCAUUAAACAAAGUUAUGGACCUUUUUCUUCUCUUCAUCCUUAUUUCAGGCAUUUUGUAACCAUUUCCAAAGGCAAUUUCAACCAGGUCAAGGUGCACAUCUCGCUGCACAAACAAACUACAGCGGCGGAACCGCAGCUACUACCUAAACUUGGAUUAUGGUUACUGUGGUGGAAGAGGCCGAUCGAGGAAGUUCUGUCUCCCUUAAAAUGGUGUUGUUGGUCACUCGCAUUCUAGCACUCUGUUUUGGAGUUUAGUUCUUUCGGGUAAAGAACAGCUUUAUGGUAACCAAUAUCUCAAGAUUUGUAGGCAUUAUCAUAUUGGCUAGUUCGAAGUUCCUUGCUUAAGCCUCAGGAGAGAAUGUUGGUUCUCCAUGUAGAGCGACACAAAAGUAACAUGAACCUUUUGGUAUAUGCAAACCAUUAAAUAUAGAUAAACUUUGUUAUUUAAUAUUCUAAUAUACAUAUAAACAUAAAGCAAAUUUUUAACACUUACAAGUUAAGAAUUUCUCUCUUUAUAUAUAACGAAAAAGCACAUAAGGCACUAUAUUAGAAGAUUCCUUAAACUCUUGAUGACUACAAGCUUUAUACAAUUAUGUAAGUUACUUGCAGAGCCCAUCUUCGCCUUUACACCAAGGGAAAGAAAGAUACCAAGGCUUUCUCCACCAAUUAGUGUUAAGUAACCUAUAUCCUCUCUCAUACCUCUCACCAAAAGAGCCAAGAACUUGGUCCCAGCCUGGAUGCUGUCUCAUUAAAUCAACCAAAACCCCAGACCGAGAGCCACAUAAUAAUGCCAAGAUUGUCAUCUACCCAUGCUACAAGCCCUUUCAUCUGGUGUGCCGGCAUCAUCUGUGCCAUCAUAUCUAUUGCUGUGAUAAUUGGUGGCAUUGUAAUCUUCGUUGGUUACAUGGUCAUUCACCCGCGAGUUCCCAUCAUUAGUGUUGAGUAUGCUCACCUCGACCUCUUAAAGUAUGAUAUAGUUGGAGUCAUGCAGACGCAGUUGACGAUUGUGAUUCGCGCAGAGAACGAUAAUGCUAAGGCUCCUGCUUUGUUUGAUAAAACCAAUUUUAAGCUAAGCUAUGAAGGUAAAAUAAUAGCGUAUUUAAAACAGGAUGAGUUCGUAGUUGCUAAAGAGAAAUCAGUUUUCUCUCAUUACGUGGUUCAGUCAUCUCCAAUACCAUUGAGUACACAAAUGAAGCAAGCCAUAGACUACGCGAUUAAACAAGAUGUGAUUGUUUUCGAACUUAAAGGUGGGUCAAAGGCUCGAUGGCGAGUCGGGCCAGUAGGAUCGGUCAAGUUCGAAUGUAACCUUAGCUGUGAGCUUAGGUUUAGACCGUCUGAUCAUAAUUUCAUCCCAUCUCAUUGCACUUCUUCUCAUAAGCAUUAGGAACUCUCUUUGUCUCUCAUUUGAUUUUUCUUUUUAAACUUAGUUAAUUAGUUUUAAAAAAAUAUUUUUGGGGCCGGUUUUUUAUUUUUCUAAAAUAAAUGUAAUAAACUGUUUCAUAAUAUUAUCAAAUGAACAAUCUUGCCCUCUCUCCCAAAGAUGUAAAUAUAGAAGAAAAAUCAUGAUAUUGGAGUUUUCUUGUCACGAAGGAAGCUUAUUUUUCAUCCUUACAACAUAAAGUUACUUUAUCGAAACUUUAUAUUCUUUUAGCCGUGGAAAGCAUAAACACUUGCGUCACGGCACUUACCUACUAACUACUUUUUGGGGGAGGUAAAUUGUACUAUAUUUUACAUGUAAUUAGGAGUUAUUGUAUCUUGGACUUGGAAAACGCUGGACUUAACGAAGUUUUGGGCCUUGACCAGAGCCGGGUCCUAAGGUUUGGCAUGAUAAGACUACGUUGAGAAUAAUGCUUGGAAACGAAAUUUUUAUGAGAAGUCAUAUUUCUUGUGAAAGCAACCUGAAGUAAUUGCUUUUGUCAUGAUUAACAUUUUUACUGGAUUAUUUUUUUGACUUAACACAAUAGGAUAUAAUUUACAAAAGAAGAUUACAAACUUAAACAAACCAAAACAAAGUUCAAACAACGGUUCCACGUGAGUAACGUGAGAGUUCGCGUAAUAAUAGUACUUACUUUUCUUUUCACUCAAACCAAAUCUAGUUAAAAUCUCGGGAAACACGACUGGUGCGAAAGGAGAAGACUUUUCCAAGAAGACACGCGUCUAUAGAUGAAUGGUCUGUUAUUCUCAUUAAAUACACAUCAAUGGAGGCUAACCUAUCCACGAUAUUUAGAUUUAGAGAGAACAAAUCUUUGCCAGAUAUGGUAACUGUUCUCUCUCUAUCUCUCUUUCUUCUUUCUAUCUUUUCAAUUGAGAGAGAGAGAGAGAAGAGAAGGUCCGAGGAGGAGGACUAAAAAGAUGUUACGGCGGCCUCUGACUCGCUUGGUGCAGGUCGGGAACUGAUUGGCUGACACCGCCACGUGGCUUUCCAUGGUUGGCUUGUGAGCAGGGAUCGGAUCCCGCCUUGUAUCAAGUGAAUCCGAGUCCGACGUGAAAGAAAAAAAAAAGUCCACAGCUUUCAGAUCUGACACACUCAUCAAAUAUCUUGUAAUUGGGGAUUUAUUCUUCUUUGUUAAUCUUUUAAUUAGUUUUCAAGCAUGAUGAUUAAUGGCUAUGUUCUUGAAAUUUCAGGAUCUAAGGUGUUUCUUAGCUAUAUAUAGAUCUCGUAUUUGAAUUCUUCAUAGGUUAAAGAUUGGUUCAUUGAGUUAGAUUUUUGUGAUGCACACUCAUGUGUUGAUUCUGAAUCUCGAAGCUUUAUGCUUAAUGGGGGUGUUGAGACUUUUGAAUCUCAGGUAAGUUCCUUCUAUUGAAUCUCUGAGUUUACCUUGGUCAUCUGAAUCAAAGUUAAUGAUGCUGUCGGAUUCGAGUUUAUCAUGGAUCAGAAUAGGAGUUUUUAGCAAGUUUUGAAGAAUCUUUUAAUAGAAAUUAAAGUUGAUUUCCAUUUUUUUUUUCAGAUUCGUUUUGGUUUCGAUAAUGGUUUAUUUCGAAUAAUAUUAAUAGUUUCCUUUUCGGAUAGUGUAAAUAUAGAAACAAAAUGAUGCACAGAAGCAUAUAGUGUUAACGUGUCUGUGUUGGUUAUUGUGAAGGAUUAUGAUUGUUGCUAAUGUAUGACCGAGAGAAUCUUUUUGGUGAAUGACAUAAUAAAGCUGGAUUGAACAGAGGUGGAGAAAGAUGUAGUUGCACUCGAAAUACUUUAUUUGAAGUUGAGAGUAUGGGUUUAUUUUUGUCAAUCUGAUUCUUUUUUCCUUUACCCUAAAAUUACUUUAAACCUUUGUUUUAAUUAUAAAAGUCACGCAUGGCUAAACGCUUUAAUCCUCUAAACCCCUGGUUUCGUUUAUAUACUCUCUUCUCUGAUGUCAACACACCGUUAGUAGUAGAGUUUCCUAUAAUUUGAAUAAUCUUCUUUUGGUGUUGCUUUAAUCACAGUUGUGGUUUAGGAGUUCUUGCCUGAUCGGAUUUAACAACGCACAAUUUUUAAGUUGUUGCCAUGUACAAACAAUGAUAUUCAAGGACAGGACCGAACUCCAACCUAAAGGCUUAGUAUUAGAUUAUUACAUUGUUUUCUAUCUCCUCUUUACCUGUAUUAUUUUUGAGGUAAAAUACAUUUUUUUCAUUUUAUUAUUUAUAAUUAACAAAAAAACGUGUGCAAGAGAGCAUCUUAUUUAAAAAUGGACUCUCUGUACCUACCAAUGACUGACUACUUGUAAGCAUAAGUUGCCAAUAUAUAUCUGAAAAAGUAGAUGCUCUA